RNAcentral lists this ribosomal RNA (749 nucleotides) under uncultured marine haptophyte. Its description in RNAcentral is "bacterial SSU rRNA". It matches the Rfam family "Bacterial small subunit ribosomal RNA", at positions 543 to 1309 of the family's 1533-position model. Lineage: Eukaryota; Haptophyta. The record is from RNAcentral.
AUCCGGAAUCAUUGGGCGUAAAGCGCCUGUAGGUUGUUUACUAAGUCUGUUGUUAAAGACUAGGGCUUAACCCUAGAAAAGCAAUGGAAACUAAUAGACUAGAGUAUGGCAGGGGUAGAGGGAAUUUCUAGUGUAGCGGUGAAAUGCGUAGAUAUUAGAAAGAACACCAGCGGCGAAAACGCUCUACUGGACCAUUACUGACACUCAGAGGCGAAAGCUAGGGUAGCAAAAGGGAUUAGAUACCCCUGUAGUCCUAGCCGUAAACGAUGGAUACUAGAUGUUGUGCUUCCGUACAGUAUCGUAGCUAACGCGUUAAGUAUCCCGCCUGGGGAGUACGCUCGCAAGGGUGAAACUCAAAGGAAUUGACGGGGGCCCGCACAAGCGGUGGAGCAUGUGGUUUAAUUCGAUGCAACGCGAAGAACCUUACCAGGGCUUGACAUACUACAGAUUCUUUAGAGAUAGAGAAGUGCCUUCGGGAAUGUAGAUACAGGUGGUGCAUGGCUGUCGUCAGCUCGUGUCGUGAGAUGUUGGGUUAAGUCCCGCAACGAGCGCAACUCUUAUUUUUAGUUACCAAUUCGUUGGGUUCUCUAGAAAGACUGCCGGUGACAAACCGGAGGAAGGUGAGGAUGACGUCAAGUCAGCAUGCCCUUAUGUCCUGGGCACACACGUGCUACAAUGUAAGACAAAGAGUCGCAAUUCGCGAGAUGAGCUAAUCUCAUAAACUUUAUCUAAGUUCGAGUGACGCUGCA